AUACAUAUUGCAAGUUGUGUGGUCCUUGACUCUAUGUAGGAAGGUCCUUGACUACAAAGUUAUUGCACAACAAGCUUGUUGAUGUUGCCCAACUAAUGAUCCAAUGCAUUGCAACAUAUACAUACUGGUUAAACUGGAUUGAAGCUUCCUAGCUACCUAGUUAUCAUUUGUUCAUCUGUCACUUUUAGAUGAACCUAAUAUUUGGCGAUAACAAAAGAACUGCAUGCUUAAUAGAUUGUUUGUUUUUCCUUAUAAAAGCCAGAUAGGAGUGUUGUAAUGGAUUAGUCAAGCAUGAAUAUGAUAAAAUAAGUUUUAACUGGGUAUGAUGAAAUAAGUUUGGAGUUAGCUAGGCAUGCCGACUCGGUUCCAGCAGAACCCUGUCCCACCAUGUUUGCAGUCUCCACUUGAUUUCACAAUUUCAGUCACAGGACCUAAUCCCAGACCUAACAUCUCGUGUUCUCCUUUUUACUCCGUUUCUUCGUUUCUCAUCUUACUCCGUUUUUCAUUUCUCUCGUGUCGGAAAUUCUAAGUCUUGCUAACCAUUUCAGUCUCUGCAAUUGAGCUUCGUAUUUCAAACACCACAACCAUCGUUCGCGAAGAAAAACGGAUUCAAUCUCAGUCUUCGUUUUAAUUUAUCUUGUAUCCGCAAAUCUGCAAUUCAGCUUCCCAUUUCAGUCGAUUUAAACUCAUUGACAUUGUUCGCAAAGAAAUCUGACGCAGCAAAGAUCUGUUUAACUAAAAGAGAAGACAAUCUAUAAGGUAGCUUACUCAGACUCGAUUCUUAUCAUACACCUCGUUCUCUAUUGUUGAUGUGCCUUAACUUUAGUCCACUUGAUAUCAACUUGUAUGCACAUUUGGUCGGAGCUACUGCAACAUGGAUAAAGCUUGGAUCUGGUUACCAAGGAAUUGUGUUGAGUGUGAGGAAGGAGCAACCAAGUUUGUGGUUGAUUCAGCACGAAGUUUGGGCAAUGUAUCAGAUAUGUUUUUCCUUGCAUUGAUUGCCGCAAUGUGGUUCAUCAGCCAAAUGAGACAGUGUUAGAGCAUCUGGUGAUAAGAGGGAUGGAUCUGAAGUACAAGAGAAGCAAAUUUUGGAGUAAUUAAACACGGGGAUGUAAGGACUGACAAGCCAACUGAUGUUCAAACUUCUGAAUAUGAGGCUUAUGAAUUGAUUAUGACAGCUUUUAUGGCGAGUGAAGGCAAUCGAUCAUCUCAGGAUCAGAUUUUAGAAGAGGCUGAGGAUAUUGACAUUGAAGAAGAAGCUGAGUUUAGGAAGAAGUUAGAGGAUGCAAAAACUCCAUUGUACCCGAGUUGUCUGAAAUACACAAAGGUAUCCGCAAUAAUGGGACUGUAUCGGAUGAAGGUCAAGAGUGGUAUGUCAGAGAAUUUUUUUGAUCAGCUUUUGACACUUGUUCAUGACAUUUUACCUGGAUUCAACGUCCUGCCUAAGUCUACAGAUGAGAUGAAGAGAUUCUUUAAGCUUUUUGGAUUUGGUUAUGAUGCUAUUCACGCCUGUAGAAAUGAUUGCAUCCUUUUUCGGAAUGAUAUGAGGAUUUGGUGAGCUGCCCAAGAUGUAGUGAAUGUAGAUGGGAAAAGGAUAAGCACACCGGUGAUGAGAAGGUAGGGAUUCCAGCAAAGGUGCUAAUGUAUUUUCCUAUAAAAGAUAGAUUUAGGAGGAUGUUUAUAUCAAAACGGUUGGCUGAGAAUUUGCGUUGGCACUACACAAAUGCUAGUGCAUAUGGUAAAAUACGGCAUCUAGUUGACUCCUUGACAUGGGUUCAGGUCAACGAGAAAUGGCCAGAGUUUGCUGCUGAUCUGAGAAAUCUUAGACUAGGUCUGUCCACUGAAGGGACGAGUCCGUUUUCUAUCCAAACCACCAAGUACACCACAAGGCCAGUGCUGUUAGUGAAUUACAAUAUGGCUCCAACUGAGUGUAUGAAAGCAGAGAACAUCAUGCUGACAAUGUUAAUUCCAGGACCAACCGCACCAAGCAACAACAUUGAUGUAUAUCUACAGCCGUUGAUAGAUGAUCUAAGGGACUUGUGGAAUGAAGGUAUUGAAGUGUUUGACUCGUUUAAGAAGGAGAGCUUCACUCUAAGAGCUAUGCUUCUAUGGACCGUCACUGACUAUCCGGCUUUAGGAUCAUUAGGUGGAUGUAAAGUGAAGGGUAAGCAAGCUUGUAAUGUCUAUGGGAAGGAUACACCUCAUAGGUGGUUAAAGUAUAGUCGCAAGCAUGUCUAUAUGGGCAAUAGGAAGCGCUUGAGACCUGGUCAUCCUUACAGGCGUAAGAAAGGGUGUUUGACAACACAGUUGAGGUUGGUACUGCAAAAAGAAUUCAGACUGGAGCAGAAAUCUAUGAGAGCCUUAAAGACUUUAGGAAUGAAUUUGGUAAACCUUUAGUCAAGAAUGGGAAGAGAAAAAAGAUUGAAAUAGAAGAAGAUGAUGUCUCUUCAGCCGAUGAGUAUGAAGAAGACGAUAACCAAUGGCGAUGGAAAAAAGAUCAAUCUUUUUUUAAUUACCGUACUGGAAGGACAUGCCUGUUAGGCAUAAUAUAGAUGUAAUGCACGUUAAAAGAAUGUGUCUGAUGCUCUAUUAUCAAUCUUGAUGCAUAAUGCGAAAUCAAAAAAUGGCUUGAAAGCAAGAAGAGACUUAGAAGACAUUGGGAUUCGAAGAAACUUACAUUCACAUAUACGUGGGAAGAGAACUUUCUUACCUCCGGCGACAUAUUGGCUUUCAAAAGAAGAAAAACGUAUAUUCUGCAGAAGGUUAUUUAAAUUCAGAGGCCCUGAUGGAUAUUGUGCCAACAUCUCAAAUUGCGUGUCAGUAGAUCCUCCCACCAUUGGUAGUAUGAAGUCACAUGACCAUCAUGUUCUAGUACAGAAUCUGUUACCUGUGGCAUUGAGAGGUUUGCUGCCUAAAGGACCUCGGAUUGCAUUGAACCGUAUCUACAAUUACUUCAAUAGGUUGUGCCAACGUGUAGUUGAUCCGGAGAAGCUAUUAAACUUAGAAUCAGAAAUUGUAGAAACGAUGUGCCAGUUAGAGCGAUACUUUCCACCUUCACUGUGUGAUAUUAUGUUUCAUCUGCCAAUACAUCUAGCAAGAGAAACACGCUUGGGUGGUCCGGUACACUUCAUAUGGAUGUACCCUUUCGAGAGGUAUAUGAAUACACUAAAAGCAUAUGUGAAGAACUUUGUAAGGCCAGAGGCUUGUAUGGCUGAGGGCUACUUGGCUGGUGAAUGCAUUGCAUUCUGUUUGGAGUUCCUUCAGAAUUCUGUUCCAGUUGAAGAAACAGUUAAUCGCAAUGAAGAUGUAGAGGCAGAGCAACAUACUCGAAGGUCGACCAUUACAGAAAGCAACAGAAAAGAUCCUUACAGAUAAAGAGCGAGACAUAGCUCACAAGUAUAUUCUCAUGAAUACAGCAGUCAUGGAUCCAUAUGUUGAAUAAGUUAGACGCUAUAUAGUUUAUAUUAUAAACUUACUUUUACUGCGUACGAGACUAACUUUAUUGAAAUUAGGAUGUAUUUGGAAGAACUGCAAGCUACAGAUGCAAGAUGCGCAAGAAAUGAAACUCUACUAUGGAAAUAUCAUACAGAAAGGUUCCCACAGUGGAUAAAAAAAAGAUACCAACAAACUCAAAGGACCAUUCUAGUACGCUCAGAUGGCUUGCUUUUGGACCAAGAAACAUUGCUCAAACCUACAAGGGAUAUAUAGUGAACGGCCAUAGGUUCCAGAUAGACGAUGUGAAGAGGAAGACUCAGAAUAGUGGAGUCACUUACGAAGCUGUUUCUAUGUGUCGAGCUAGUGCUAAAGAUACUAGACAAUUGGCAGGCAUAGUAUCAUUCUAUGGAGUAAUAAAGGAGAUCCUGUUAGUGGACUACCACAUGUUCCAGGUUCCACUAUUUCAUUGUAGUUGGGCUAACAAAGGGAAUGGGGUGAAAGAGGAAGAUGGUUUCACACUAGUCAAUCUUCAUAUGAACCAGUCAUCAUAUGUAAAUGAUCCUUUCAUUCUGGCAUCGCAAGCUAAACAAGUGUUUUACUCUAGAGAUGAUGAGUGCUCACUUUGGUAUGUUGUCAUGAGGGCGCCACCUAGAGGAUACCAUGAACUCGAGACAGAAGAGGCGUCUGUUUAUACAACAAUACCAGUCCAGACAAUUGAUGAUUUUGUAGAUCAAUUGUCUGAUGACGAGAGUUUUUGUGUGAGGAAUGAUUGUGAAGGUGUUAUAGUAGACAAUUAACACUAAAUCAGUUUUAUUUUGCUGCAGGUAAUCAAAAACGAUGAAAACUGUAGGUGUUACCGACAUCUGUCGCAGUAAGCGUCAAGCAGGCCUUGAUGUGAGCCCUGUAGUGUCACUGAAUCAGAAGAAAAAAAAAAGGAUGUUCCACCCGAGAAUGUAGAGGAAGAUAGAAAAAGAUCAAGUGGAUGACGAAUCAGUAGAAGAACAAUCCCCUGGUCUACAAGACGAACCCAUUCCCCCUACUACUAGAAGCGUGGUCCAAUGCGUCUGAAUCACCGACGCAACAAUCAGAUAACAAAAAGAGGAAGUCAAGAGGUCCAACGAGAAUGCGAAAAGUGGGGAAGAGUGUGGACGAUAAGGUUCAAGUAGAAUUCAAUUCACUAGGUGAGCAUGUUGGUUCGGGAUCAGUGACACUCGCAUCCUUCCUUGGUCCUCUUGUGAGAGAGCAUGUUCCAGUACUGCUAGAUAACUGGAGACAUCUUGAUGACAAUAUAAAAGACAUAAUGUGGGAAGAAAUUCAGAUAAUGUUGGCCUUUUGUUGUACUAAACGUUUAAUUAUCAAAGUAAUUUUUUCUUGUAGUUUUAACUUGGCAAUGUUUGACAGAGGAGGUUCAAUUUGAAAGAAGAUUGGUAAAAGGACGUUGUCUUCAGGCAGAUGGGUGAUUUGUGGAGGGCUUCUAAGUCUCGGCUUGCUUCCAAAGUUUGAUCCACUAAAAGUAAGGUUGCACUACAGCAACUAAAGCCUAGCAACAUCCAAUGUGCAUCAGCUUGGAACAGUUGGGUGAAAAAUAGGAAUAGCACAGCUGCUGAGGAACAAAGUGAAAAAUUCAAGCAAUUGAGGAAGGGUCAAAUUCCUCAUACUACCAGCCGUAAAGGAAUGACUCGUUUAGCUCAUGAUAUGAAAAAAAUUAGUUCUGACCCUAGGAAAGUUACUAGAAGCAAGGUGUGGCUAGCAGGACAUACUCAUUCUGAUGGGAGACCUGUGAGGGAAGAAUUUUCGGAAACUAUUGUACUAGGAAAAGAUAGACCAGGAAGAAUUAGGGGGAUGGGUAGAGGCGCUACUGUUACCAAGUUGGCCUACUUGCAGGCUAGAGACUCACAUGUUCAGAAGCUUGAAGCUACUCAAGCAGAAUUAGUUAGCAAGGUUGAGUAUUUGCAGAAUGUGGUUAGUGAAAUAACAAGUAAAAAGACUGAUAAUGUCUCCAAGUCUGAUAUAAGAGAUGUUAGCAAAGGAGGCAUUAGGUGCCAGCUACUGGAUUGGUAUUCAGAUGAGGAGGUGGUUGUUGC
Molecule: RNA transcript, 5519 nt
Organism: Eutrema salsugineum
Lineage: Eukaryota; Viridiplantae; Streptophyta; Magnoliopsida; Brassicales; Brassicaceae
Exons: 10
Source: RefSeq, a predicted model, not a curated record